Non-coding RNA from Equus caballus (horse), 3691 nucleotides. Lineage: Eukaryota; Metazoa; Chordata; Mammalia; Perissodactyla; Equidae. The record is from RefSeq and is a predicted model, not a curated record.
GCCCUGAGCUAACAUCUCUGCCAGUCUUCCUCUAUUUUGUGUGUGGGAAGCCGCCACAGCACAGCUUCCUGAGUGGUUUGUAGGUCUGGGCCUGGGAUCUGCACCUGCGAACGCUUGCCCUCUGAAGCCGAGUGCAUGAACUUAACCACUACACCACUGGGCCGGCCCCCUCCGUCAUUUUUAAGAUUCAAAAGGGGUCUUGAUAUUAACCAAUUUAAGAGCCACUGAUCUAAAGGAAUGAGUUAGCAACUCAAGUGUAGAGUGAGAAUUUGUAGCAGUUACAUUCCCUGGGAUCCAGGAUCUGCUCCUAGUUCUCAUUUUGAAGCAGUGUCAGGACGUUUAGAUAGUCUCCUGAAUGGUUUGGGGCUUUCCAUUCUGUGUGUGAUUACAGAGGUUGAAGACAGAAAGCCUGUACAGUAAUUUAGUCAAUAGAGUUCAUUUUUAAUCUCCAAUCUCUUGUGUCCCAAAGUCAUGAAAUCCUCUAGGACCACUUAAGAGUUUCAGACUACAGCUACUGAAGAUGGAGCAUUUUACGAGGGCUUCGUGACAUUUAUUCUUGGAGAUGCAGCUCGCAGCUCCGCAUGCUAAAAGAAAAUCAAAACUGCGUGUCUGAAACAUCUCCAUCAUCCAUUUGGAAGUGAAGAAUUCUGCCUGCUCUCCUUCCAUCCUUGCAGGAAGCUACACCCAGCUCGCUGCUCAGUCUGGACUUGUUCUCAAGGUCACCUAUGUAAUUUUUUUCAAAGCCUCACUGUCCUUAGUAUUCUCAGAGAUAAUAGCACCGGGCCCAUCAGUCAUCAUUUCCUCAUCCUCAAUUUUCCUUUUCGCUUCCUGCAAUUUUAAUCCCAAGCCCCUGCAAUUCCUUUCCAUGGAGGCUUAAGUGGCCCCAUUUACAGCCAAUUUUCGGCUAAUAUUUGAUGCAUUCUUUUAAAAUAAACCAAAUAGUCCUCACUCUGCAGGCUUUGUACCGUUGGACUUAAUAAAAUCAAAGACUUGAUAGUGGGCUUUAAACUGAUGUGUUUUUUUUGUUUGUUUGUUUCAUGAUUUUUAAAGAAAAAUAGAGACCUUUAGAAAUAGGAGGUAGAUAUUUGUUCCUGAUGGGUCAAUUUCAGAAUCUGGGGCUGUCAUUAAUAAAGGGAAAGAAAUCGCUCUUUCAUCUGUGUUGCGCGUUGCACCAAUUCUUAUAGAGGAGAGAGAGGGGAGGGGAGAUGGGUAAAGAAACCAUAGAUUUUUCUGGGGGCUGUUUCCUUCUAACCUUCUUUGGGGAUGCCUUAUCUCUGGCCCCUUCUGUAAGCUGAUCCAGCUCAUGUCGGCCUGACACAUGAACCAUGCAAAGCUUCUUUUUAAAGAGAUUUUAAUUCCUGCUUGACAGGCUAGGCUGAAGCCCAUGAGUGACAAUAGAUGUUUUUUUUUUUUUUAAACAAGAGUGAAAGCCACAGUGCACCUGGUUUUCCAUAACACAAGACAUACUUUUUUUUUUCUAGAAAAGAAAAAAAAAAAAACCAGUUUAAAAAAAGCUAAAUCUUAAGUAAUAAGACAGCUGAGUUUGCUAGGCGUCAUGUCUUAAGAAAAGAGUGCCACCAUUUUUGGCCUGCCUGAAGGCUGUUUUUGUCCCUAAUCUGUUUUAAAUCUUUUAAGGGUUUUAUCAUUUUUUUCCGCCUUUCCAUAAAAUUAACUCAUUUCUUUAAUAUAUUUUUUAUCCUAGUCUGAAAUUUCAUCCUUAAUUAUCCCCCACGUGGAGAAGUAUCAAAGUAUCACGUAUCAUAAGAUAAAUGACGUUUUUGGACCCAAGAUAUUUGGGUAAACUGACCAUGUCCAAUGUCUUGAGGGGAAAAGCUAGAAACUGGGAUCAUCCUUAAGGAUUGCAUGAGUCCAAAUCUAGAAAAACAGUGAAAUGAUUUAGGAGUUGCCUGAAUGUCGUCUUUGCAGAUAUAAAAUGAGCUCCGUUUUAUUUAUGACCAUAGCAAAUUUCAAACAGCUUUCAUUUCCCCUGGUAUUAUGCAUUGCAAGCCGUGGUAAGGUCUGAAAGUAAUAAUGAAAGCUCUGAUAAUGGACUUAGUGCUGGCGGCGCCAUGACAAGGCUGGUGACGAGAGGGGAGCUGUCAUCUAUUAACUGAACACUGGGUGCCAGGCCUCCUCUUCAGGACUCUACGUACUUUUUUCUCUAAUUUGCAUAUCAGCUCUCAGAACUGGUUGUUGUCAUCUCUGUUUUACAGAUGACAAACAGGAGAAACUAGGACACCAAAAGUUGGAAUGACCUGCUUCAUAUGAUGCUCGUGUAAGCUUGGUGCCAGAGCUGGUACCAUGUUGCACAAAGUUGGUUUAAUCAGCUUUUUGACGGCACCUCCCUAUUUACAUCAAGGGAAGAAGAGCCACUUUAACUGUAUAGCACAGCCCCAUUUACAUAAUAUUUUCACAGCACUAUCUUGAGCCUUGCAGUAUACUUAUGAGGUAAAAUCAUCUGUUGGAGUUAUUCCAUUAUCCUCAUCCUGUGGAGAUCUUGAUUUGGAAAUUCUUGACAAAAUCUACAGUGUCUGACUUACUAUCAAUGUUACCAACUGAAGGAUCUGCAUUGACUGCUCCAGCAGUGGCUAACUUGAUGUCCUCUGCAAAUUUAAAAAGCGUGCCACCUUUUCCAUCAUCGGGUCAUCCCUGAGGUCAUCACGGAACAUCCUUCUCAACUGUCCAUGAUCCGUGGGUAGCUGUUCUCUGUUGUCCAUUUCACCAGAUGUCCUCAAAACUAACAGACAGAAAAGGGAAAUGGUUAAUGGUUGAGUGCCCCUGUUGGUCUAUCAUGGAGGGCGAGGAGAGCCUACAGGCGCAUGCGCCCACCUCUGUAACUUGCUGUUCCUUGUGUCAUAUCAAGUGGAAGUGCGAAGCACCACAAACUGCUUUGAGCAGAGCCCACUUCCCUUCACCCACAGAGAACGUGAAGCAGUUAUACCAACAUCAAUCAAGGAAAACCCACAGGCUGAACUCACACCGUUGAAGCAGGUGGGCUCAAAUGAUGAUAAACAACUAAACCAUUCAACAGGAAAGCGAACUUCUCUGUUCUCCCAGAAGCAUGUGUCUAAAUAUUAGCAAUGGGGAGUGAAGAAGAGGAAGGAAAAUCCUGCCCGUGCUGUCAAAGAGAAAUGUAAUGUGCACCUCAAAACCAAACCACAUCAAGAAGUUUAAAAUUUCUAGUAGCCACGUAAAAAAUGUACAGACAAACAAGUGAAGUGAGGAAAUUGAAGAUUUGUCCAAGAGCAGAAAGCUGAUGAGAGAGAGAAAGAAGAAAGAGACCAGCUUACAGCUCAAGUCCUCUUUCUAUGCUCUGGAAUCACCAUAAAUGCUACUCGCUUGGACCUCGUUUUGUUUCUUUCUGGAACUCUGUACUCUGUUUGCAAUGGUAUGGUUAGUUGUUAGGACCGCUUAUGUGUAUUUUUUUUUUAAUUUAGAGAAAUAUUGCUGCAAAGCUUUUCCAGGAUGUAUUUAAAAAGGAGGUAUCCUCUGGUUAUCUAGCAUUCAACUGAUUCUUUCAAUUUGGUUGGUUUAGUCAAAGUUUGAGUAGAAGAGUCUGUCUAGGUAAUGGUUUUUGAGGACACUUGGGCAAAACAAAAAAAAAUAGCCUAUGGAAAACUCAUUCUGAUCAUUUCAUACCUAGGAAAAAUGCAGAGAACAAUAAAAAUGAGUCAAUAUUUUAUAAAUUCAA